AUUGAACGCUGGCGGCAGGCCUAACACAUGCAAGUCGAGCGGUAGAGAGAAGCUUGCUUCUCUUGAGAGCGGCGGACGGGUGAGUAAUGCCUAGGAAUCUGCCUGGUAGUGGGGGAUAACGUUCGGAAACGAACGCUAAUACCGCAUACGUCCUACGGGAGAAAGCAGGGGACCUUCGGGCCUUGCGCUAUCAGAUGAGCCUAGGUCGGAUUAGCUAGUUGGUGAGGUAAUGGCUCACCAAGGCGACGAUCCGUAACUGGUCUGAGAGGAUGAUCAGUCACACUGGAACUGAGACACGGUCCAGACUCCUACGGGAGGCAGCAGUGGGGAAUAUUGGACAAAUGGGCGAAAGCCUGAUCCAGCCAUGCCGCGUGUGUGAAGAAGGUCUUCGGAUUGUAAAGCACUUAAGUUUGGGAGGAAGGGUAGUAACCUAAUACGUUGCUACUUUAGUACGUUACCGUACAGAAUAA
This 470-nucleotide ribosomal RNA is filed under the name uncultured bacterium. RNAcentral describes it as "bacterial SSU rRNA". It matches the Rfam family "Bacterial small subunit ribosomal RNA", at positions 30 to 489 of the family's 1533-position model. The record is from RNAcentral.